AAGUUGUCAGUAUUUGCGGUCCACCUUCACUUUAACAACAACAAGUUCGUUUCAAAACAACAGAAACAUGGUUCGGACAUUCGCCGCAGCUUUUCUUCUACUAACAUGUGCUCUAACUCUGGUCCAAGCCCGAUCCACGAAUAUGGAAUCAGACCAUAUGUCUCUAUCGGAAUCUAUAGAUCUGAACAUGAACUUAGAUGAUGGUGCUGAGUCAGCUAACGAGGACUCUGAGAUAGUCGCGAUGAACUCCGCCGAUGAGGGUGCGGUGUAUGGAAGAUAAACCUACAGUUGAGGAAAGUCCGUGCAACAGAGACUCCUCCUUAACCAGAGCUGGUUUCUCAGAGAGAGCACGUGAAAACCAUGUGACACAUCGUCACAUAACGAACAGUUUUUAAAGGACACUCCCCGGUCACUUUAUGGUCAAUGAUUUGACUUUGAUUGUUUUUAAUGACGUGCCAAAGGCUCCGAGCAGACGCCUGUCACGCUCAGCAUUUCAUUUGAUCAUGGUUUAUCAUUUUGAAUUUUAACCCAUUUCAAA
Molecule: long non-coding RNA, 538 nt
Organism: Bolinopsis microptera
Lineage: Eukaryota; Metazoa; Ctenophora; Tentaculata; Lobata; Bolinopsidae
Exons: 4
Source: RefSeq, a predicted model, not a curated record